Molecule: long non-coding RNA, 398 nt
Filed under: Mustela putorius furo (domestic ferret)
Lineage: Eukaryota; Metazoa; Chordata; Mammalia; Carnivora; Mustelidae
Description: lncRNA (ENSMPUG00000027275.1)
Source: RNAcentral
UUUUACACAUACAUGGUCAUGUCAUCUGUAAACAGAGACUUGUAUUUCUUCUUUCUCAAUCUGUAUACCUUUUAUUUCCUUUUUUGUCUUAUUGGAUUACAUAGGGCUUCCAGUAUGAUGUGGGAAAGGAGUGGUGAGAGGGGACAUUCUUACUGUGUUCCUGAUCUUAAUGGGAACGCUUCUAGUUUCUCACAAAAACAACUAUGAAACCUGGAUUAAACAAAUGGAGCAGCUAUUUUAGAACGUCAAAGAGCCAGUAGCACGCGGUAAGGUGGAGAACAGCACCAGAAUUCAAAGUACCACUGAAUUGAUGGUGGGUUGACAGUUUAUUUUCUCUGAUUUCCCUUGAUCUCAACACAACUAGAAACCUGAAUGUGAACAUGGUUGUAAAAGUAGAG